CCGGCGCACGGGUGAGUAACGCGUGUGCAACCUGCCCGGCACAGUGGGAUAAUCCGGAGAAAUCCGGUCUAAUACCGCAUGACGCGGGAAGGGCGCAUGCCUUUUCCGCCAAAGGAGGCGACUCCGGUGCCGGCUGGGCACGCGUGACAUUAGCUAGUUGGCGGGGCGACGGCCCACCAAGGCGACGAUGUCUAGGGGUUCUGAGAGGAAGGUCCCCCACACUGGUACUGAGGCACGGACCAGACUCCUACGGGAGGCAGCAG
RNAcentral lists this ribosomal RNA (263 nucleotides) under uncultured bacterium. RNAcentral's name for it is "partial 16S ribosomal RNA". It matches the Rfam family "Bacterial small subunit ribosomal RNA", at positions 95 to 354 of the family's 1533-position model. The record is from RNAcentral.